GAGUUUGAUCCUGGCUCAGGUUGAACGCUGGCGGCAGGCCUAACACAUGCAAGUCGAACGGUAACAGAAAGCAGCUUGCUGCUUUGCUGACGAGUGGCGGACGGGUGAGUAAUGUCUGGGAAACUGCCUGAUGGAGGGGGAUAACUACUGGAAACGGUAGCUAAUACCGCAUAACGUCGCAAGACCAAAGAGGGGGACCUUCGGGCCUCUUGCCAUCGGAUGUGCCCAGAUGGGAUUAGCUUGUUGGUGGGGUAACGGCUCACCAAGGCGACGAUCCCUAGCUGGUCUGAGAGGAUGACCAGCCACACUGGAACUGAGACACGGUCCAGACUCCUACGGGAGGCAGCAGUGGGGAAUAUUGCACAAUGGGCGCAAGCCUGAUGCAGCCAUGCCGCGUGUAUGAAGAAGGCCUUCGGGUUGUAAAGUACUUUCAGCGGGGAGGAAGGGAGUAAAGUUAAUACCUUUGCUCAUUGACGUUACCCGCAGAAGAAGCACUGGCUAACUCCGUGCCAGCAGCCGCGGUAAUACGGAGGGUGCAAGCGUUAAU
This 547-nucleotide ribosomal RNA is filed under the name uncultured bacterium. RNAcentral's name for it is "bacterial SSU rRNA". It matches the Rfam family "Bacterial small subunit ribosomal RNA", at positions 9 to 545 of the family's 1533-position model. The record is from RNAcentral.